RNAcentral lists this long non-coding RNA (3735 nucleotides) under Homo sapiens (human). RNAcentral's name for it is "PREDICTED lncRNA (TCONS_00069047)". Lineage: Eukaryota; Metazoa; Chordata; Mammalia; Primates; Hominidae. The record is from RNAcentral.
UCCAAUAUUUAUUUUAUCUUGUAUGUACAAAAAGUAAACUCCAAGUGAACAUCAAAUCAAAUCUAAUCCUUUUGGCCACAUGACUGGUUGUUCUUUAUCUCAUAGUUACAAUGAAUCAUAUAAACUGUAGACUGCCACUACCACGAUACUUCUGUGACACAGAAGGAAUGUCCUAUUUGCCUAUCUAUCUGAGGAAUGUUAAAUAGAGAAAAAUAGAUUAUAAAACAACCUGGAGGUCACAGGAUUCUGAGAUAAUCCCUCUGUUAAAAAACAUCUGAACAGCAAAUGUCCAAUCUGUAAUAAAAUAGUUAAAGGUCCAAGUCAAGUCCACUUCUACUUGGCUGGCCCAGCACAAGAAAUCUAACAGCACUUUGUAAUCAUUUUGCUUUUCUAAUUUUCCCGGAGGACAUGGGCCAUUGACAUAUAAGGAAAAAAAACAAAAACAAAAAACGAUUAAGUAAGUUGUGUGAUCCCUAACCUGUGAGUUCAAAGGAAGAUUUUGCAGGGCACCAUUAUUUCCAUAGAAGAUUCUUUUAACAGAGAUGUCAUUUCAAAUCUAACGUAGCAAUGGUGUGUUAGGAUCACCCAGAAUGAAAUGACUCUGCUGAUUUAUGGCAAAACAGACAUACCUUGGGUAAGAAAUGAAGCCAAUGAUAACAUCACACAUGCAAAGAUUUUUUUAAAUAAAUUGAGCUAUAUAGUUUUAUUCUUUUUGCUAAACUCAGUUAUUAAAAGGUUUCUUAAGAAACUUAACAUCUUUGCGCAACUAUGUCACUCAAGUGAUUUAUCUACAGGUUUGUUUUAAACCGCUAAGCAUCCUGAGUCCAUUUCUUUGCCUGGUGCUUGCACACACAAUUUUCUUAGAAGGAGGCAACAGUUUCAUUAACAUAACUGAGGACAGAAAUCAACUUGUUCUGGUCACCAAAUGUCUUGUGUAUAUUUAAAAAUAUAACACGAGAAAAAGAAGAUACUUUUUAAAAUUCAGAAUCUGUAGUUUGUAAAACUACUAUCAUUUUAGCAUAAGUUCAGUGCUGACCUUUUCAGAUCAAUCAUAAAUAAUAAAUUCUCUCAAGAGAAAUAUUUCUAGUGGAAAUGGGAAAGAUGUGAACUAAAGCUAUAACCCCUGUACCCUAAAUAUCAGCCACUUUGGGCUUAGCACUCUUUUGCGGGGCGGUGAUAAUACUGCAUUAGAGCACAUAUGAAUAUAUACCUUAGUUUACGCAGACAGAAUAUAUGACAUUUUUAAGUGAUAUACAUUUGCUUGCGGUAUCAUUUCUAAUAUUAUCAGUACUGUCAUUAUACAAAAAUUUUUUUGAGCAAUGAUUGAUAGUAACCCAUCAUACAUGCAGCUUAUGCCUUUCUGUGGCAGGAUGAAAAUCAAUUUAUAAACAUCUUGUGACAAGCUGGAAUUCAGUUAUAGAUCAAUUACAGAUUGCUCACUGGACAAUCAAGGACAUUAUUAGAAAACGGUUUCCACCACUAGAAAUUCAUCUACAUUGACAUCCACCUAAAUAUCCAGAAGGUCAUCCCCACUUUCGUCGCUCUCCACAGUCAGCUGCCGGGUCCACCACUUCUUAACUUCAGAACCGCAGGAAGCCGCGUCAGUCAUGGGGUUCAUUUUGCACACGACAGAUUUCAUGGUUGUCCUUCCUCCAAACCGAGGAACCUAGAUCUUCUCUGAUCUCUGAAAAAUAAGUUCCUGGAUAUGAAAGGGGAUACUUUCCUUGGUGGUAGUCCCAGUGAAGACCCACUGAACAUCGUCAGCCUCAAAAUGUAAGCUGUGCUGUCAUCUGCUUUGUGGAACACAUAUGCUACACAUCUUCUCCUUUCAAUUGGGCUGAAGUUGGGGCACAGUUAAAGAGCAUUAUAAAGCUCCUGCUUUAGCAUGAACUUAGUUAUCUAUAGAAAAAAACAUGUACAAGGACACUGGGCUGUGGGGAGCAUUGCUCUCCCUCCAUUCCUGAGUGCUCUUAAUGGGAUUAUCCUGGCUUUCCAAAACCCUAUAGAGAAGAAGCUCAUAGAAGAAAAUUCUCUUACUGAAUCAGUAAAAUAUGGAAAAUAAUGGGACUGUUUAUUAAAGGAUUGAAUGAGAGAACACAAGUAAUGCACUUAGAAGAGUGACUGGCAUACAGUGAGUACUACGUGCUGGCUUCUCAACCAUGAUAGCCUGAAAUGUACCCGGAAAAUGGGGGCUAAUGUAAGUCAUAUUUAGAGAAGUUAUUUUGGGGGACAAUGUUUUUGACAAGACUACAUUUUUCAUUAUGUUGCUGUCUGUAAACAACUGUAGAUGCAGACUUGCAUUUUGAAAGGCAAGACCCAAAACACACAAACAGAGUAAAUACCUUUAAAAUGCCUCGAUCGCUGGAGAAAUGCCUGGAUGGACCUACCUGAGGGCAGACGCCACUGCCCAAAUUUCCUCUGGGGUUUCCCUGCGUCGGCUGCAUCUUGCCGACUUCCUCCUCGAUCCGACAGCGUGGGGCUCAGGAGCUGCUGCUGGCUGCUUGUCUGCAUGGGAGGAGAAGCACACAGUUACCGUCUUUUUAACCCUGCGCUCUCCUCCUUUUACUAUAAGAAAGGAAAACACAUGGCAGGAGGACAAGUGGGAAGAACAACAUGGACUCAGAGUGUCCACAAUGGGGAAAAGUGAAAAUGGGUAUAAAGGGUCACAGAAGAAAAAGAGCCACCACUGCACGCCCUGCUGAAGGAGACACCACUCUUCCUGGGACAUCUUGUCCUGGGUAACCCCCACUGCUUCGUUCCCCUCCAUGCCUGAGAAUGUCAUUGUUUCCCUUCAUAUCUUCGCUGGCAAACCAGGGGGUAAGGAAGGGGAACUGCAGGAAGGAAGGUGGGGCAGUGGGGACGGGCUGGGCGGGGGCAGUCUACUGUCACCAGCCUGGAGAUCCACACUUAGAGCUUCAGGGAAAGAGUUCUCUGCAGGCAAAGCUGUAUGAUGGGCCCUGGUGGAGGAUGGAGCUGAUAACAAUCUAAGCUACAGUGAAAGAAAGAGAGAUGCCAAGACUUCCCACACAUUUCACCUGUUCUCAGGUUCACCUGUCACCUCUCCCUUUCCUAACAAAAGCCUUGGUCUUCACAUCUCUUUAGUAUCCUUUUUUUUUUUUUUUUGUCACCUCUUUCUUUCUUAGGCUUUUUCAUCUAAAAACAGAGGGCUCUGAAAUCAUCACUUUCCCCAACCUCAUUAGCCCUGUCUCACUGUCUGUCCUGACUUCAGCCUGCCUCCCUCUCCCAUGCGAGACAUUGCCAACCAUCUUCAGGGUGACCAGUGGCAAGGCCACUGCAGAUGCCUCCCCUUGCCCCUUGGUUGACUAACUCCGCAGAAGUCCCUGCAGUCGGUGGCAGAUGAUUUCUAAAGGCUGGGGAGCCCAAAACAUGAGAUCUACUGAAAACUGAGCUAUGGCACCAGUGGGCCUCCUGGAGCACCCUGCUGGGCCGUGGAGCCUUAGGCUUCCAAAGGUACUCUGGCCCCUGGCUGCGUUGCUGCACACCAUGGAGCCUGGUGCUGCUGGGGGCUCUGCACAGAGCACGGGAUCAGCUCCACGUUGUUAACCUCAAAUCGUAAUUGCUGCCUCAUAAAGGGGCAGGUCCUCCCAGCCAGCUGCUUCUCACAGCACAGGACUCUCCAGGACGCUGAUAACUCCUUGUACUUUUUUAUAUAGACACAUACAUAGAGUUUGAAAAUGAAAAUAUGCUGUGACUUAAUAAAUAGAAACUCCUCAA